This 8262-nucleotide long non-coding RNA is filed under the name Brachypodium distachyon (stiff brome). Its description in RNAcentral is "long non-coding RNA (BDIS_LNC003339)". Lineage: Eukaryota; Viridiplantae; Streptophyta; Magnoliopsida; Poales; Poaceae. The record is from RNAcentral.
GAAGGUUCACGAAUCUGAAUACUCAAUAUAGUUGGAGUCUUGAUGACGGUAAAACAGGUGGUCUAACCGACACACGCGAUUACACGAAAGUAGCAAAGGCUAAACUUUAUCUAAUCAAAACCCAAGGCUCCAUAGGGGGGCUCAUGGGGUAUAAAUAGGAGGGGAACUAGGUGGUUUUCGGCCAGGCCCUUGUGGGAGUCCGAAACGGCCUAGGAAUCCUCCUAAAACACAACGAAAACAUCUAAAAAUUGGCUGGACCCUAUUACAUGGCCUUAGGCCCAAUAAAACAAGGUUAUAACCCUCAUCUUUGGCCCAUAGAUACCCAUUGGAGGGGGAAUCCUCCACUUGGCCGAAAUCCCAUUGAUGAAGAGGAUGCGGCCUUCUUCUCAUCUCUUUAUGGCGGUUUCAAUGUUCUGAAAUCAACACUUGAGCUACCUCCCACCACCUUGCUGCCACCUCCAUGGUUUGCUGUCCAACGCUGAUCCUUGAGGUCCAAGCUAGGUCCUUCAUUCCUAAAACACAUAAAAGAACCCAUCUUAGGCAGCAGCAUAUUCUCAUUAAUAUUAAAUGAAAUACCGAGGAACGAAAGUACCUGAUAAUUUAGUUGUCGUGCACGAGCUCUAGUAAUUGGUCCCUGUAUCUCCGGUACUUGAGGUGUAGGUGCUGUAGGGGCUGUGGUUGUAUCAUUAGUUGGGAUGUCCUCAUCAUCCUCCCCUUCUUGAAUCGAAGUCGUCCUCGACGGUAGUUCAUCUUCUUCUCCCAAAUAAGGCUUCAAAUCUGCAAUAUUAAACGUGGGACUAACCCCAAAAUCUGCAGGUAGCUCAAGUUUAUAUGCAUUAUCAUUAAUUUUCGCUAACACCUUAAAGGGACCAUCAGCUCGUGGCAUUAACUUAGACUUGCGCAAAUCAGGGAAACGAUCUUUGCGCAAAUGCAACCAAACAAGAUCUCCAGGUUCAAACACAAUUUGUUUUCUGCCCCUAUCUCCCGCAAGUUUAUACUUAGAAUUCAUGCGCUCAAUGUUCUCUUUAGUCGUCUCAUGCAUUUUUAUUAUAAGUUCAGCACGUUCCUUAGCAUCAAAGUUAACUUUUUCAGAAGUUGGCAAAGGUAACAAAUCAAUUGGUGCACGAGGUAUAAAACCAUAAACAAUUUCAAAAGGGCACAAUUUUGUGGUUGAAUGCAGUGAACGAUUAUAAGCAAAUUCAAUAUGAGGUAAACAUUCUUCCCACAUUUUCAAGUUCUUCUUUAAAACAGCCCUAAGCAUAGUAGAUAAUGUUCUAUUAACAACUUCAGUUUGUCCAUCUGUUUGGGGAUGACAUGUAGUACUAAAAAGCAAUUUAGUCCCCAACUUAGCCCAUAAACAUCUCCAAAAGUGGCUAAGAAAUUUUGUGUCACGAUCUGAAACUAUAGUAUUGGGCACACCAUGCAAGCGAACAAUUUCACGAAAGAAUAAAUCAGCAACAUUUGUAGCAUCAUCGCUCUUAUGACAAGGUAUAAAAUGUGCCAUCUUAGAAAAUCUAUCAACAACAACAAAUAUGCUAUCCCUCCCCUUCUUAGUUCGAGGCAAUCCCAAAACAAAAUCCAUUGAUAUAUCUUCCCAAGGAACAUUAGGAACAGGGAGAGGCAUAUAUAAACCAUGAGGAUUGAGUCGUGACUUAGCUUUUUGACAUGUAGUGCAGCGAGCGAUAAAUCUCUCAACAUCCCGUCUCAUCCGAGGCCAAAAGAAAUGAUCAGCGAGCACAUCUUCGGUCUUCUUCACGCCGAAGUGACCCAUCAACCCUCCUCCAUGUGCCUCCUGUAACAACAAAAGACGAACGGAGCUAUCUGGGAUGCAUAGCUUGUUAGCACGGAACACAAAUCCAUCAUUAACGACGAACUUGUUCCAUGUUCUGCCCUCUUUACAAUGCUGCAAAACAUCCUUAAAAUCUGCAUCAUGUUCAUAUUGUUCUUUUAUAGUCUCCAAUCCAAAUAUCCGAAAAUCAAGCUGAGAUAACAAGGUAUAACGACGUGAUAACGCAUCAGCAAUAACAUUAUCUUUACCCUUCUUAUGUUUAAUAACAUACGGAAAAGACUCAAUAAAUUCAACCCAUUUAGCAUGACGACGGUUCAGCUUUGCUUGACUACGAAUAUGCUUCAAAGAUUCAUGAUCAGAAUGUAUAACAAAUUCUUUGGGCCAUAAAUAAUGUUGCCAUGUUUCUAAAGUCCGAACGAGAGCAUAUAAUUCCUUAUCAUAAGUAGAAUAAUUCAGACUAGGCCCACUCAAUUUUUCACUAAAGUAUGCAACAGGUUUUCUGUCUUGUAACAACACACCUCCUAAACCGAUUCCACUAGCAUCACACUCCAACUCAAAAGUCUUAUUAAAAUCAGGAAGUUGGAGUAAAGGAGCAUGUGUCAACUUAUCUUUCAAUAUGAGAAAAGCUUCUUCUUGUGCAGCGCCCCAUACAUAUGGAACGUCCUUCUUUGUGAGCUCAUUAAGCGGUGCAGCAAGGGUGCUGAAAUCCUUUACAAAGCGGCGGUAAAACCCAGCGAGUCCAAGAAAGCUCCUCACUUGGGUGACCGUUGUUGGAGUUGGCCAGCUUUGAAUAGCGUCGAUCUUGGCCUUAUCAACUUCUAUGCCCUGUGGAGUGACAACAUAGCCAAGAAACGAAACUCGAUCGGUGCAAAAGGUGCACUUCUCAAGGUUACCAAACAAACGUGCAUCUCUCAAAGCAUCAAAAAUAGCACGUAAAUGAUUCAAGUGGUCUUCUAAAGAGCUGCUGUAAAUCAAUAUAUCAUCAAAAUAAACCACCACAAAUCGUCCUAUGAAAGCACGUAAAACUUCGUUCAUUAACCGCAUGAAAGUGCUAGGUGCGUUAGUAAGACCGAAAGGCAUGACUAACCACUCAUAUAGUCCAAACUUAGUUUUAAAUGCUGUUUUCCAUUCAUCGCCUAAUUUCAUUCGAAUUUGGUGGUAACCACUACGUAAAUCAACUUUAGAGAACACGGUAGAGCCACUUAAUUCAUCUAACAUAUCAUCAAGUCUAGGAAUUGGGUGACGAUAGCGAAUAGUAAUGUUAUUAAUAGCUCUACAAUCUACACACAUACGCCAAGAACCAUCUUUCUUUGGUACCAAAAUAACAGGAACAGCACAAGGACUAAGGGAUUCACGAAUAUAACCUUUGUCGAGCAAUUCUUGAACUUGUCGUUGAAUCUCCUUCGUCUCCUCUGGAUUGGUACGGUAGGGCGCACGGUUGGGCAGCGAAGCACCAGGAAUUAAAUCAAUUUGAUGUUCAAUCCCUCGAAUAGGUGGUAAUCCUGGUGGUACGUCUUGUGGAAAGAUGUCGGAAUACUCCUGCAAAACGUGAGUAACAGCAGGGGGCAAAGAGGGAGGCAUAUCCUCAAAUGAAAACAAAGCCUCUUUGCAAAUGAAUGCAUAGCAAACAGAAUUAUUCGUAUCUAACUCAGAAAUAUCGGAUUUACUUGCAAGCAAGCAUGCACCUUUCAAUUUAAUUUCAUUAACAUGUUUCGGUUCAGAUUUGCUAGUAGACGCUUGGUGCUUAAAUUCCUUAGCGACAUUAUGGUUCUCACUAUUAUCCUUCUCUUUGCUCUUUGCUCUACUAGCUCUAGCAAGAUCAUCUUUCACAAUUUGUUCAGGAGUCAUAGGUUUCAAACCAAUUUUCUUACCAGCAUGCAUAAAAGAAUAAUGAUUAGUUCUACCAUGAUGAACAGAAUCUGUAUCAUAUUGCCAUGGACGACCGAGUAACAUAGAACAUGCUUGCAUAGGUACCACAUCACAAUCCACAAAAUCAGAAUAUGUACCAAUAGUAAAGUGUGCACGGACUGUUCUAGUUACCUUGAGCUUACCGCUGUUGUUAAACCAUUGAAUGUAGUAAGGGUGGGGGUGCGGCCUGGUGGUAAGAACAAGUUUUUCCACCAUCUCCGUGCUGGCCAAAUUAUUGCAACUUCCCCCAUCUAUGAUGAUACGAACAGCGCGCUCCUUGAUGACCCCUUUUGUUUGGAACAAGUUAUGCCGCUGAUUUUGUUCGGCGUGGCUCAUUUGGACGCUCAAGGUGCGUUGUGCAAUCAAACUCAAGUACUGAUCAGCGGCUUCAGCUCCCAUUAACUCCUCGUCAUGGUGGGCAGCGGGGUCUUCUUGCUCUUCCUCGGCAAUGAGAGCAUAGGUAGCUUCGUCAAAAUCACUGGCUGAAUCAUAUACUCCGUCUUCACGUAUGAUCAUAACGCGUUUGGUUGGACAGUCCCGCUGAAAAUGCCCGUAUCCUUUGCACCUACGACAUUGGUUAUCUCCGGUCCGUCCGGUGGAAGCAACGGACGCUGCUGAACUUUGUGCAGAGGCAGCGGGUGUAUUUCUUGUUGCUGCUGGUCCAACCUUUGCGGAUGUAGGUGUAGAGGUACUUUGCUUGUUGGUGGAAGUAGUCGGAACAACCGGACGUGUAGGGGGUGCAGCUGGGCGUGUGGAAGGGGCAGCGGGGCUGCGUGCUGCCCAUGAGGAAGUACGACCUGCAGAAAAGUUAGUCCGCGCGUUCGCGUGUCGUCCCUGCACUUCCCUUUCAGCUUUGCAAGCAAUGUGAAACAAUCGAUUGAUAGAAUUAUACUCCUUAUAAUCAACAAUGUCAGCAAUUUCACGAUUUAAACCACCAAAGAAUCUAGCCAUAGCAGCUUCCUCAUUCUCAACUAAACCACAACGUAACAUGUUCUUUUGCAUUUCUUGAUAAUAAUCUUGGACAGAAUUACUACCUUGCCUUAAUUGUUGUAGUUUCUUUAACAAGUCACGCGAAUAGUAUGAAGGAACAUAUCUAGCGCGCAUAAUUCUUUUCAAAUCAUCCCAUGUUGGUGGUAUAGCGUUAGGAUGUGCAAUACAAUACUCAUGCCACCAAACAGAAGCAAAAUCAGUAAACUCACUAGUAGCAGCCCUAACCCUUUUAUUAGCAGGAAAAUCAUGGCAAGUAAAUUUUUGACUCAAUUCUAAUUCCCAUGUAAGGUAAGCAUCAGGGUCAUAUUUUCCAUCAAAAGGAGGAACCUUAAGUUUAAUAGAAUGCAGCGAGUCAUGUUCCUCUCUGUGAGGUCGUGUCGGUCCCAUACCUCGGCGGUUGAAACGAGUUCGGCGAUGAUCACGGUCGUUGUGAUGGUUUACGGCCUCGUCGUGUUCCGUAUCCGCGGAGUAGUCGUCGUCGUUCUCCUCAACCUCGCUUGCGAAGGUACCGUUAUUAGCCGUCCGCUGGUUGUGUGUAUUGUUUCCUCCCGGUGUAGCGAUGGUCGUUGCAGCAAUUGCCGCCAGUUGCUUCGUGAUUUCUGCCAGAGAAGUACUAAUGGUAGCAACAGAAUUCUGUAAAGAUGUUAGCUUGGUAUUUGUUUCAAUGUGCGCGCUCUCCAAGGUUCCAAGUCUCUCAUUCGCAACCCGAACGUCCUCAUCCAGCUCCUCGUUACGGAGCCUAAGCUUGCGAUCAAAAUGUGAAAUAAUGCCCUUUGUGCGUGGAGAGUGGCCUUGUAAAUCAUCAUCAGAACCUGCCAUCGUUAGGAGAAAACAAGAAACAAAUCACAAGGAAAAGUCCCUAUGCACUACUAGGACGUGGGGUUCCAAAGAUCACUCCACUCAACUUUUAAUCAAGUUCUUACUCGUUCUUACCCAGCAAACAGGAAGGUGAUGGCCAGCGGCAAGAACAAGCCCUCCGAAGAUUAGUGUAUCGAUGCCUCGAGGCAAACCAACCUAGGUGUAGAAUCUGUGGAGCUUGGAGGCUUAUGUGAGUAGCAAGGAAAAGCGAAUAAUCAAAUCAGCAAUGCAAAGUUGAAAAUAUGCUCAAAAAUGCUAGUCCUAGUUGCUGGAGUCGACAAGAACGAAUUACAGAAAUUAACUAAGCCUAGAUACUGAAAAAGGUAGAAAGGAAAGAUCAAAUGAAAGGUAAAACAAGUAAAUCUCUGGGGAAUAUUUUUUUUUCUCUUUUUUUUUUCUUUUUGUGGCCUUCUGUUUGGCUUCUUAUUCUUUUCUAUUUUUUUUUUUUUUAUCCCCAGAAACUCACGCAAAAUAAGUUAAGACCGGAAAGCUGCACGUCGGUCUGUAGGAGAAUAGCAAAGGCUGUAGUAAGGAAAACUCAGAAAAAUAUGAGAAAAUUUGGGUUAGAAGCGUAUCAAAACAAGCUUUCCAACAAGUGCAAGAUCACUCGAAACGGAGGUCGGACGGUGGAGAAAACUGCGAUAUACUGCGCUGCCCCGGUCCCGUAAAACGGGUGCAGAAACUUUGGAGCUCGAAAAGUCCACCUUAGAUGCCGAAUUUGAGGGUCAAAGUGCAGGGCAGCGCCCUGGAUAUUUCCUGAUGUGCCUCGUCGUGAGCUUUCCAAAAAAUCCAAGAACGUCCAAAUCCGAGUUGGUAUGCAAAAGAUACGUCCGUUUUACUGAACACGGGUCAAACCCACCCGAAACUAAAAUUCUACUCGGACUCGGGUCCGAAACUGACUCGAACUCUUUCUCUCUUUUUUUUCGUUUUUUUUUUCUUUCUUUCUUCCCUUUUUUUUUUCUUUCCCUUCUUUUUUUUUUUCACAACUUUCCGAACAACUUGAUCUCUGAACAAAAUUCGAUCUAUUAUGAAACACUUUCCAAAAGCACUCUUGAUUGGACUCGGACUCGAACUCGCGGCUGAAAACUAUAACUUGCCGACUCGAUGUAGGACUCGACGAGGGACUCGGUGUAGGACUGGAAGAAGGACUCGGUGUAGGACUCGAAGAGGGACUCGGUGUAGGACUCGAAGAGAGACUCGGUGGAAGAUAUGGUGGCGGCAGAAGAUUAUGGCGGUGGUGUGGCAGGAAGUUUGGCGGCGGAAGAUUGAUGAAGGAAACCUGCGUCACACGAAGAACAAGAAAACCAAAAGCAAGUUCGAUCUAGUAGAAAAAAUCUGAAAAACGAUCCAAUCUAAUCCAGCAACUCGACACGAUUAAUGCAGCAAAGAUUCAACAAUGCAAAUACUAAUGUGAAAAUUGCAAGGCUCAGAUUGGUUCUAGGACAAGGUAACUAAUUCUAAUUUUUGUUUGGCUUUUUCUGGACGAUAGGUAAAAACAGAUCUAAACUACGGAUAAACUGGAAAAAUCUCACCGAGCAACCUUAAGCUCUGAUACCACGUGAUAGCCUCGAGGGUGUCCCGAUCUUUCGAUGAGAUACCUAAUUAUCGAUUUGGUAGGAGGUGACGUUGACGAUCCGACUACAACCUAGGAGGCAGCGCCUUAGCGAUCGAUACACCAACUCCAGAAGGUUAUUGAUCCCGUGGGGGCACGAUCAACCUGACCACGAAGGUCUUUGUUCCUGCAAGCAAUCGAAGAACAAGCAAGAACAAGAUGAAAAGCAAUCUGAAAUUGCGAAUAGGAGAUAUGAAGGUUCACGAAUCUGAAUACUCAAUAUAGUUGGAGUCUUGAUGACGGUAAAACAGGUGGUCUAACCGACACACGCGAUUACACGAAAGUAGCAAAGGCUAAACUUUAUCUAAUCAAAACCCAAGGCUCCAUAGGGGGGCUCAUGGGGUAUAAAUAGGAGGGGAACUAGGUGGUUUUCGGCCAGGCCCUUGUGGGAGUCCGAAACGGCCUAGGAAUCCUCCUAAAACACAACGAAAACAUCUAAAAAUUGGCUGGACCCUAUUACAUGGCCUUAGGCCCAAUAAAACAAGGUUAUAACCCUCAUCUUUGGCCCAUAGAUACCCAUUGGAGGGGGAAUCCUCCACUUGGCCGAAAUCCCAUUGAUGAAGAGGAUGCGGCCUUCUUCUCAUCUCUUUAUGGCGGUUUCAAUGUUCUGAAAUCAACACUUGAGCUACCUCCCACCACCUUGCUGCCACCUCCAUGGUUUGCUGUCCAACGCUGAUCCUUGAGGUCCAAGCUAGGUCCUUCAUUCCUAAAACACAUAAAAGAACCCAUCUUAGGCAGCAGCAUAUUCUCAUUAAUAUUAAAUGAAAUACCGAGGAACGAAAGUACCUGAUAAUUUAGUUGUCGUGCACGAGCUCUAGUAAUUGGUCCCUGUAUCUCCGGUACUUGAGGUGUAGGUGCUGUAGGGGCUGUGGUUGUAUCAUUAGUUGGGAUGUCCUCAUCAGUCGGGUGCGUCCAAGACAAGCAUUAGAGUCGAUUGGACGCAGCCCCCCGAGUGUCGGGUGCGUUCAAGACAAGCAUUAGAGUUGAUUGGACGCAGCCUCCCCGUGUCGGGUGCGUCCAAGACAAGCAGUUUUUGGGUCCAUCCUGCUGCGUGGACGAGAGCUGAAUAUUGUGCUUUGCGCCGUGUGGCUUGCAAUAAGAUGUU